UUAUUUUUUUUUUGUCUUUAUUGGCAUUUCUUGGGCUGCUUCCCACGGCAUAUGGAGGUUCCUAGGCUAGGAGUUGAAUCAGAGCUGUAGCCACCAGCCCAUGCCAGAGCCACAGCAACGCAGGAUCCGAGCCGCAUCUGCAACCUACACCACAGCUCACGGCAACACCAGAUCCUUAACCCACUGAGCAAGGCCAGGGAUCAAACCCGCAACCUCAUGGUUCCUAGUCGGAUUCGUUAACCACUGUGCCAUGAUGAGAACUCCUGACCUCUACAUUUCUUAACUCUCAAGGAAGGAAAGAUUUCAGUUCUCCUGUUUUUGUGAUUGGGUUAUCAUAUAAGGCUGAGUAAAAACACAAUUCCAUCACAUUUUGGCUAAAACUUAAAUCAAAAAAGGAACAAAAUCUUGAAUUGGGUCAAGCAUCUCCCAGUUUAUACCUUUGUGUAUAAGAUCAAGGGCAACGUCACCCAGCUUUCUCAGGCUUAGCCAUAAAUUACAUUUCGUGUGUGUGCAUGGUAAUUUUUUUCCUGCAGUAUUUUUCUCGCUGCUAAACCUGAAGUCCUUACGGCCUUAUCUCCCUUUCCUUCAUGCUGCUCAUAACAUAGGCUACAUGUUCUCUGCUUUGCAAAGGAAGGGAGUAAGAGGCAAGAUGACCUAAGGGAUUUGUCCAAGGUCACACUGGGGUCAGAGGUGAAAGAAGGAGACAGGUUCUGUUCUUGCGACUCUUGACCCACAGCCUUAUCUCCUUAACCAGAUUCUUCUGUUUGGUGUGUGUUCCUUCUCAAGCAAACAGAAUCCUGAUAAAGUGAUGGACUCCACAACCUUAAAAGCUUGAAAAAAGAAAAGUUUGGAAAAACAGGUGCUAAGAAGACUCUAUCAUACUGUUCUGAAGGAUUCACAUGGGUGGUCAAUUCUCUACCAAGUUGUUGUGGCUGGACUUCAAAGUGACCCCUCAGCCUUCACCUGCCCGUUGACCUAUGGCUGGAGUCAUUGUUCCUACUCACUGCCCUGAGGUUUUAAAAAGACUGUGCAGACAAAGCUCUGGACACAUGAUGGGCUGUUUAAGAGGACACGCUCCCUCCAAGUUGGAGAUUCUGCUUCACCUACGAAUCCUGCUUUUCUUUUGAGAAAAAAAAAAUGGCACGAAGUGGAAAAGGGGUUCUAUUGGUUAACCUGACAUGGGAUGACUUCAGGUAGCAGUUCAUGUGUGGUCUGAGUUCACCUUCCUGGGUUUGAAUGCAGCUCUGCCACUUGCUAGCUGUCUGAUUGGGAAAAGUGACUUAACCUCUGUGCAUCCAUGUUCUUGUGGUGAAAUGGGGGGAAUGACAGUUUCUGUCUCUGAGUGAGGGUGACAUAUAAAGGGUUGUAAAGCUCUCAGAGCAGUGCCUGGUGCUUAGGAGGUGGCUCAACCAUGUUAGCUAUGGUUAUUAUUAUUAUGGCUUAAUAAUGGCUGUAUCAGUCAGGGUUAACCCCUGAGCAACAUGGGUUUGAACUGCAGGGAUCUCCUUAUAUCUGGCUUCUUUUCAAUGGUAAAUACUACAGUGCUACAUGAUCUAGUUGGUUGAGUCCACAGUUGCUGAUAGGGAGGAACUUUGGAAUGGAAGAACCAGGGGCAUUCUUCUUUUCUCUUUCUGUGUAUAUACAGAGAGAAAGAGAGAUAGAGAAAGAAAGAGAGCAUAUGAUGAAGCAAAUGUAAAAAUUGGUAAAACUGGAGUAAGGAUAUAUGUUAAAUUUCUUAUACAAGUUUUGCAACUAUUUUGUAAGUUUGAC
Molecule: long non-coding RNA, 1770 nt
Filed under: Sus scrofa (pig)
Lineage: Eukaryota; Metazoa; Chordata; Mammalia; Artiodactyla; Suidae
Description: lncRNA (ENSSSCG00015033519.1)
Source: RNAcentral